Molecule: ribosomal RNA, 401 nt
Filed under: uncultured prokaryote
Description: bacterial SSU rRNA
Rfam family: Bacterial small subunit ribosomal RNA
Source: RNAcentral
UGGGGAAUAUUGCACAAUGGAGGAAACUCUGAUGCAGCGACGCCGCGUGAACGAUGAAGGCCUUCGGGUCGUAAAGUUCUGUCCUAGGGGACGAUAAUGACGGUACCCUAGGAGGAAGCCCCGGCUAACUACGUGCCAGCAGCCGCGGUAAUACGUAGGGGGCGAGCGUUGUCCGGAAUUAUUGGGCGUAAAGGGUUCGUAGGCGGUUUUUUAAGUCAGGUGUCAAAGACAUAGGCUCAACCUGUGUAAGCACUUGAAACUGGAAGACUUGAGUGAAGGAGAGGAAAGUGGAAUUCCUAGUGUAGCGGUGAAAUGCGUAGAUAUUAGGAGGAAUACCAGUGGCGAAGGCGACUUUCUGGACUUAUACUGACGCUGAGGAACGAAAGCGUGGGGAGCAAACA